This is a long non-coding RNA of Scophthalmus maximus (turbot), 2532 nucleotides long. Lineage: Eukaryota; Metazoa; Chordata; Actinopteri; Pleuronectiformes; Scophthalmidae. The record is from Ensembl.
ACAAAGGGUUGGUCCUCUCCGUGGCAGGUCCAGCUAAACAUAGUGGUGGUCGAGUUUGAUGGGAACCCAAGCAGGUGUUAUUAGAAUCAGCGGAACUGCCCCAUGUCUCUGUUUGGGCGUCUGGUGUUAGAGAGAGAGGACAACUGUCAGUCAGGCAACACCAGCAAAAUGAGAAAUUCCUCAUCGUGACCCCGACAGCCUCCGGCCCCGCUCCUUAACACCUGCUCUGGAAUGAUCCAAAGACUGAGGGCACAAAGCGUCCCCUUGUACGACAGCCGCUCUGACUCAUCUGCUGCAGGAGAGGAAAAGCACCCAAGAGCGCAGGAGUGGGUGUGGGCACGGUGCCUGCCCGGGGCGGCAGUGAGUCACGAUGCACCGCAGGACCCAUUCAUCACGGCGCGGCGCCGGCCCUGCCUGCACCUUGGCACCGUCCGUCGCGGCCCAACCUGGCCAGUGGUGAAAGUUGGGGUUCGCUCUAUCGCCGGGCCUCUCGUGUUAAUCGCUGCCUCGCCCCCGUGGCCCCGUGCGGUCGAGGAUAAAGAGGACGCGAGCAAAGGGGGAACAGCCGAUUGUUUUCGGACCGGGACACUGGUCGUGGCUGUACACUGUGUUACACUCUUUGUGCCUUGAAAAGAUUUUCAGCCCAGCGUCUUCCUCACAACUUACACGACGUCUAACCCCCUAACUGUACCACCCAUUUACUAAUCUACCCAAUGCAUCUACAGUCAUCAGCCAUGUUUCUUAUGUCGCUUGUUCAGAACAUUUUACAGCAACAACUUUCCGUUCCAACUAGUCAGAAAGCAAAAAAGGUCUUUGUCAGUAUGUUCUUGUGCAUUUAAAAAUUAGAUAAUUGAUGUAAUUUCAUAGCUUUAUAAAGAUCAAAAUCCAUAGAUAUAGAUAUAAAAAUGUCCGUGGUCACCAGGACCGGAAAAUGAAGCCAAUGCCGAAGUGCAUGAAGCCUGUAUUCUGUGUAAUAACCAGCAGGGGGCGACUCAAGCGCUCGUUCAACAGCACGAUGUUCAUUUAGUAAAUCGUGGCCUCAUUUAGAGUCAAAUAGACGAUAAAGCACCGUAGCGCGGGUACAGCGUGAUUGACAGCAGGUCCGUCCAAUCGGUGCGUGAUUUGCAGGUGACGGUAGGCGCGCAGGCCACGAGCUUAGACCACACCCCCAAUGUUACGUCCGGUGAACACGUGUGUGAGCUCAUCACACCUCUGCCCAAACACGCUGGAGCAAAAGGUUGCCUCUUGAUCCAAUCGAACAAUAAUGGUGAAUGAAUGCGAUGCCUCCGGAUUUUCCGCGUUUUCUCUGAGCGAUCUGCUUCACAGGGGAGAGACGACCGGACGCCGGAGGCUUCGAGGGGAGAAGCUACUUCAACCUGUUAGAGGAUUAACCGCUGUGGGGGAUACAUGGUUUUGGAGUACAUGGAGUGAAACUUUCCCAUUUUUUUUCACCCUCUGCCGUUCGGGGCUGCCGCGGUGCAAUCUUGCCUCGUGGCGUUUUGAAAAAACCUUCUCGUGCUGGAUCAUUACAACGGCGUGCUGGAAAAUCAGAAAAGGGUUUGUAUGCUGUGUAAAAACAAAACAAAAAAAAUACAAACAACAACGUGGCAAAAACAAGGAAUAGCAGUAUUCAAAUGUAACAUGUGGCAGUCGUGAUGGGAGGAAACUUAAUAUACAGUCAGUUUGAAUUUAAUGGAUGAAAAACAGCAAAUGCAGCAUGAAAACUGCCAAACAACUGCUACAGGAACAGGAAUGGUUGACGUGUGAUAUUCUUAUUUCCACGUGAAGAUGUGACUGAAGAGGGCUCGACAUCUGCAAAGCACGAGACGCAGUGCACACGUCCGCACCCGACAGCUUCCGAGCGGCCUCCAAUACUUUGCCCGCGGAGGAUUCCGCUCGCCUCCUGCUCAACAUCCUUAAAGCCGCCGACUGUGCGAUGCUGAAGAGCAGAUAUUGUUCAGGGAUGAGACACUGAAAAGGGCUUGUUGUGUAUCUUCUGUGCGUCUCCGUGUAACCGCGGGUUUAGUCUGUGUGUGUUACUCAUUAGCGGAGUGAAACCCACAACUGUGCUUCCAUCUAAGCACGGCUCUCGUAGGGGGAUCGGGAACAAAGCUCGGGUGGCAUCAGUCUUCUUCCCCCCGAGGAGCGGGUUUGGAAAAUGUAUGUUUUUCCCAGUUUUUUUUCUUUUUUUAGUGUGAUGGUGUGCCAGCCGACGAGGAGGUUCACCGAGAGGGGAAUCAAGUUUGAGUUGUUACAGGAAAUUUAGGUGAAUUAUUUUUCGGGCGUCGCGAUUGGCUGAGACGUGUUGAUAUAAUCUCACCUUUCUCUCCCCUCCACCUGGCGUUGGCCAUUUUUUUUAAAGUUGACCCCAAAUCACGUGGCCGCCAUACGAUGUUGCGAUUACGUCAUUGGCUUUUUUUCGCCGUUGUCCUUGAUCAAUCUGUCACAUCUGUCAAUUUUCCCAAUUUUCUUUUUUAUCACAUAUGAAUAAUGCAUGACUUUGCAAAAUGAAAUAAAAAAAACUAUCGCCGU